RNAcentral lists this long non-coding RNA (4782 nucleotides) under Sus scrofa (pig). RNAcentral's name for it is "lncRNA (ENSSSCG00025048420.1)". The record is from RNAcentral. Lineage: Eukaryota; Metazoa; Chordata; Mammalia; Artiodactyla; Suidae.
CCGUGGUCUGAGCCCUGUGUACAGAACCCACGCACGGGCAGGGAGAGGCACCUGGAGUGUGCAGGGGGCACCUCUGGAGCAGGGCUGGCUGACUGUGUUCAGUUCAGUCAGUGCUCAGUCCCCACUCUGCGUGCAGUGUAUUCACCAGGCCCGGGCAGAACCUCUGGAGCAUCUGUGUGGCGUCACUGGCCUCCUCCAGGGGCCUGAGCCCCAGCCCAGCCCACCCCAGACUCUGAAGUACUCUGCGGAGGUCCUCGUGCCGUAUCAGGAAGGAAGAACACUUUCGCCCCUGACCCCACCCUAGGCCUCUCUGGGAAGCUCAUCUCUCCCCACUGCCAUCUGCGGGCUUCCUGAGCCACAGCCCACAGCCCCCGCACCUCAAAGCAUUAAUCUAACAAAGUAGUUAAUGCCUGCCCCAGCGCUUGGCAGCUCUUUGAACACGGACAAGGUACUUGACCUCUCUGGACCUCAUUUAUCUCACGGAUAAAAUAGAAAUAAUGAUAGUCCUUAGCUCAGAGGGUCAUUGUGGGGAUCAAAUGAGAUCAUGCAGGGGCUGGCACAGGCAGGAGAGGGCAUCCCUGGUACUAUCUGUGGGUAUCCCUCUCUAACCUGCUGCUGCUCCUUUGCUCCUCAUCUCCAGCUCCCUAAACCCAGGCUUGUCACCUUCCUAAAACCUCUGCGGUCUGAGCCGGGGGAGCCGGUCAGGUCCUGCUCCCAGGUGAAAGGCAGAGAAGGAUGUGUGUCUGAGCAUCCUGCAUCCCUGGUCAUAAAGCUAGAAGGACUCCUCCAGGCACACAGGAUGCUCUCACUUUGGUCACCAUCCACACUCUUAAAUCAAGGGAGUUUCAAGAAUCAGUAUUUCUGUGGUAGAAGCCAAAGCAAAGAAACAGAGAGGGUGAGAGAAUAACCGAAGGCCACACAGCAAGCUCAGACCAAAGUCAGGUGAGGGCCCCAGUGGACCUGCACCCAGCUCUCCUCCCCACCUAACUCAAAAGCUUUCUUUUCUUCAGAAGCCUCGGUGGAAGCCUCCUUCUGGAGCUUUUCUGUUCAGAGAAAGCAGCAAACAAAGUGGAGCCAGCCCCCUGGGCCUGGAGCCCUGAGCUCCCCAGGCCGACCCACAGACUGACGGAGACGUUACCGGAGCUGAUGAUUCAACUUCCUGCCUUUUGAGAGCGCCCAGACCACAGAGGUUUUCUCGCUUGGAGGAGGGGGCAUCUCCCUGCUAGGGCCAAGCAGGGUGGGACAGGCCCCACCACAAACAGCAAGGACCAGGCAGUGCAUGGGGCAGGCCCUAGGGGCUGCUCUGGAACCCCGGCCAGCUCCUUCCUAAGGCCUGGCUCUUUGGGUAACUGAUUACUACCUAGGGUGACCAAAUGUCCUGAUUUGCCUGAGACUGUCCUGGUUUUAGCACCUGAAACCCCACAUGCUGGGAAACACCUCAGUUCUGGGCAAACCAGAAGGUUUGGUCACUUAAUUACCACCCAUAUUUCUAGAGGACAUGACUGCCUCAGCGACUCUGGGGGUCCAGGCCCCAGGACAGCACGUUUUAGAAUAGGGAAUAGGUACACUAUGUGCAGGUUUUUAUUUUGUAUUAAUUUUUUUGGCUGUACCUGUAGCACGUGGAAGUUCCUAGGCUAGGGCUCGAACCCCGGCCACUGCAGGGAUGACACUGGAUUGUUAACUGCUAGGCCUUUAGGGAGCUCAGGAAUUGGCAAACUGUGGCCUGAGGGCCUGAUCUGGCUCUCUGCCUAUUUUGUACAGCUCAGAAGCUAAGAAUAGCUUUUAUAUUUUUUAAUGGUUGAAAACAAAAUUAAAGAAGAAUAAUAUUUCAUGAGAAGUGGAAAUUACAUGAACUUCAGAUUUGGGUGUUCAUAAACAAAAGAGCACAGCCAUGCCCAUUCAUUUACAUAUUGUUUCUGGCUGCUUUCACAUCACAGGCAAUGAACUUGUAUCGAGACUGCACAGAACCAUGGACCACAAAGCCUAAAAUAUUUACUGCCUGACCCUGUACACAAAGUUUGCUGGCCCCUGUUUGAGAGGUCUUCCAUCCCUGGAACGACAGAGCCGACGACAUCUCUGGAAGAAGCGCCCCUUAAUAUCUUCCUUGGGAAAGAAGACGGCUCCCUUCAAGUUCGGGUCAUGCUUUUCACACGUUGAAGGUGAAUAAAUUGAGGCUUAGAGCCCGGCCUCAGCCCAUGCAAUGGGACCGUUUCUGCAUUGAGACCAGAACCCUGGACUUAGUGAAGCAGACCUACAACUGCAGGUGGGAGCCCAGGCGAGGAAGAAGUUUCUCAUAAGUAGAGCUGCCUCAUCUGGUAGGAAGCCCCCUGUUGCUGGAGGUAUGCAAGCAGAUCUGGGGAGAUGGAGGGAGAGGCCAGGCAAAGCAAUUCCAGUUCCCUUCUUUGCCACAGAUUACACAGGUUAUCAUCUGUCCAACUCGGAGUCCUCUUUGUCCACACAGAAGGGUCAGGGUAACACACAGCUCCUGGUGCUGCGGCUUCAAACCCUCCCCAGUCUCUUUACCAUCCUGCUUGUUUCUGGUCCAACUGCUGCUAGUCCUAUGUUCCAGAGAAAAGUCAUGGCAUUUACUGGCCUCCGUCACUUUAAUGAAAAAGCCCCUACACCAAACAAAUACAAGCACAGACAUUUGCAACUAAUUAUGGUAUUGCUGAUCAGUCAAAUUUCAUUGCAAAUUGCAUGUUGAAAUUGAUAGUGGGCGAGUCAUGAAUAAACUGGUUGUCUGGAAAAGUGACACGGGCACACAGGACUAGGUUAAUAAUUCAAUUUGGGCUCAGCCAGACACUCUGAAGAAGAGGAAGAAGCAGAUUAGCGGUGCCCCAAGACUGCUUGUUUUCCCGGGUACCUCUUGCCAGUGCGCCUUCUAAGGGAAGCUGAGCCUCCUUUAGGAUCCUCCCACUUUGGGAGACCGCAGGGCACUGAGUAUUCCAGCCUUUAAUUCUUGGUUUGCAAAAUUGCAGCCUUGAGUGAUGUGGGGAGGGGAAGACGGCCUUACAUCCCAUCCCCUUUGCUGCUAAGAAGCCCACUGAGGAGGCUUCCUGGAGACUGCCGCCUCCUGCUGCAGUGAAGACUGCUCGUGGCCUCCCAUCUGUGGGUACUGGGCUGGGAAAGCCCACAGGGGUUCCCCAGGUCAGGUCUGGCUCCAGAGAAGGUGGAAAAGGAGCCAGAGGGGCCUUAGAGAGCUCCCCACUUGCCCUGGUCCCCGUGGCGGCCCACAGAACUAUGAAGCCCAAAAGUAAGACAAUGCAUCGAGGCCACAAGAUAGACGGGCAGUGUCCUCAGAAUUGGGCCUUCCUGGAGGGUCGCUGUGCCCCUGCACCUGGGGAGGAAGGCAGGAUGGAGACACAGAGCAGGCAGAGUGCACAGAUGUCAGGGGCAAGUAAGAUGCAGUCACAGUGGCCACGUUGAUCCACCCUGGAGUACUUCCCCGUGAGCUGCUCGGCCACUCUAACUGCCCUGGCUCUAAAGGCCUGUGCGGAGGCAAAGUCUUAAUUUUUGCCCUCUAGAUUGGAGUUUAAAACUCAAAUGUCUACAUGGAUGUGGGUGCGCUCUAGACUGGGCAGGCCUGGUAAGCUUGGGCCUGCCUCGGGGGGAGCAGCCAUGCUUUGGCUUCAGGAGACUGUCUAGAGACAAUAUGAGCUGGAAUCCAGAAAAAGAUUUAGGCCAGGGAUAUAAAUUUGGAAGUUGUCAACAACUGAAUUAUAUUUAAAGCCACUCUGGGGGAGAUUAACAACAGAGUGAGUGGAGAUGCGAGGUCCAGGGACUGAACCUUAGAGAGGAACAAGUGCCAGCAAGAGGGCCCGUGAAGGAGCAAUCAGCCAGGCAGGAGGGAAACCAGGAGAGGGAGGCGAGGGCGCCGAGCAGGGAGAGAUGAACGCCUACACUCUAGAAAAGAGGCAAGGGAAGCUAGCCUUGAGAUUUAACAUGGAGACUCCUUGACAGGGGUAUCUUGCCGUCGUGCUGGAGGCUGAGGGGAGUGCACGGGAGAAAGGAAGGAAGGAGAGGACGUGAAGGCAGCAGAACCUUCAGAAGUUUUCCCAUAAAUAAGAGCAGAGAAAUCGGAGGACAGUUUGAGGGGUAUACAAGGCCAAGAGGAGGUUUUUCUUUAAGAGAGAAAAAUUGCAGUAUUUUUGGGUGUGGAUGGGAAUAAACCUGGAGAGAGGGGAAUUUUGAUGAUGCAGGUGAGAAGGGGGAUAAAAGUUGGAGUGAAGUCUUUGAGUAAACAGGUGGAGAUGGCAUCUGGUGCCCCAAAAAGGAAGAUGUCCUUAAACAGGAGCACGGAAGGUUCCCCCAUAUUAGUGAAAUGGAAGGCAGAGUCACUGAGCACAGAUGCAGGUGGGUGGAGGAAGUAGUGGUGGAGCCCAUGGAACGUCUCUUCUAUUUUCUUAGCAAACUAGGAAGAGGUUGUCAGCUGAGAGUGAGGUGGAGGAGGAGGUGUGAAGCGAUCGGUGUGAAGCCAUCGGCGGGAGGGAGGGUGUGAGUAGACUUGGGGAUGGAGUAUGACGGCUGGGCAGUGUUUAGGUCUCACUUAGGGAGGGUUAUGGUCAUUAAUUUAAGGUGAGGCAGCAUAACAAAGAAGAAACAGACUCACAGACACAGAGAAUAAACUAGAGGUUACCAAUGGGAAGAGGGCGUGGGAGGUACAAAGUAUUCGGUGUAAGACAGGCUCAAGGAUGUAUUAUUGUACCACAUUGGGAACAUAGGAAGUAUUUUGUAAUAAGUGUAAAUGAAAAGUUAUAUAAAAAUUUUAAAAAUAAUAAUUCU